This 937-nucleotide long non-coding RNA is filed under the name Ananas comosus (pineapple). RNAcentral's name for it is "long non-coding RNA (ACOM_LNC023980)". Lineage: Eukaryota; Viridiplantae; Streptophyta; Magnoliopsida; Poales; Bromeliaceae. The record is from RNAcentral.
AAUUUAAAAUUCAAAUUUAAAAUUUGAAUUGCAAUUCAAAACUUUAAUUCAGCUUUAAAUUCAAAUUUAAAAUUCUAAUUUUUCGUCAGUUUAAAAUUUUAAUUUUAAUAUUAUUUUUGAAUUUAAAUUUAAAAUUUUGUUUUUAGGGACUAAAGUGAAAAGGUGCAAAGUUUAGGGACCAAAAUUAACAUACAAAAGGAUGCCAAAUAGUUGCUGACAUAGCGAUUCCGUUAAUUUUAAACGUUUUUUUAACGGUUUGGACGUAAUUAUAAUAAAAUCAAUAGAUUAUGGACUCAAUUGCAAAAAAAAAAAAAAAGUUGGGCACCCAAGUGAAAAUUGGUGCAAAGGUUUGGGACCACUAGUGUAAUUAACCCGCAUUUAAAAACAUCUAGAAAUCAAAUUUUAUAAUUUUUGACAUUAUUUAUUUUACGAUCAAAAGAUCUCAAAAUUAAUAAUUUUUAACGGCCGAUAUGAGAUACUUGCUAGUUUAAUAGUGCAAAAAAAUCGAAAUCGGUUAAAUUUUUGAUAGAAAAUUCUAUCACUAUCUAGAUAAAAAUCAAUAUCUCUAAUCUUAAAUUGAAGAAUCCGAUCAUCCAUUUUUAGGACGCCGUUCGAUUUUGACCAUUCAUUUUAUGCCCGCUUGAUUGAUUUUAUUAUGACUUCAAAAAAUUACGAAAUUUAUUUUUUAGAAGUUUUAAAUACUCUAAAUCUUAUUUAACUGAGUGGAUCGUCGAAUCGAAAACUCUUCCAUCGAAAACAACUUAUGAGUACGAAGGGCUCUAUACUCAUAAGAGUAUAGUAGCCCUUCUCUCUCUCUCUCUCUGUACAUAUGUAUACAAAUCUAAUCUAUAUUUAAAUCUUAAUUUAUUUUCACCCUACCUUCUACUCCCCUAUCCUAUGUUAGUUCCUACACAUCCACUCUCCUACCCCUAUGUUA